RNAcentral lists this long non-coding RNA (1832 nucleotides) under Marmota monax (woodchuck). The record is from RNAcentral. Lineage: Eukaryota; Metazoa; Chordata; Mammalia; Rodentia; Sciuridae.
AGAAUAUUUACCUAAUACAUUUCAUUUCAUUUGAUUUUGGUCCAAGUGGUUCAUUAUCUGACAUUUCUUAACAAAAUUUAAGUUUCUCCACUCCAGGAUGUGUAUGAUUUUUGGUAUGGUUUCUACUUCCAGACAACAAAUCUAUUCAUAUUAUAAACUUGGCUUUAGACUCGGUUACUUUAAUGUAACUUAAAUUUCAUCUCUUUUGUCUCCAUAUUAUGCUGAUGCUGAAAAUGUAAUAGAUGCUACAGCAAAAUAAAUUUAUAUGAGAAAGUGUGAGAAAGAAUGUGUAUCUGCCUCUGGGUAUCUUUCAAUCUCAAUUUGAAAUAUUAAAUAAUGUUUGCACCCUCAAAGAAGGUUGAAUUGGGAGAUAUCAAAUGGGCAGCUAUCUUAUUUAGAUUUGGCAAUUUUAUUCCUAACAGAAUAGCUAUGACCAAACUUUCAAUUUCGUUAUUCUUUAGCUUAGUUUAUGGUCAGUUGCCUUUACAGUCAUUUAUUUGAAAACUGUUCUUUAGAAUGAGAUUAAAAGAAAUUUAUGAUGUGUUUCACAAUUCCACUUGUAGUAUUAUGUGACUCUAGGGAUAAUAAAAUUGAGUAUGUUUCUUGAUAUUCUUUUCUAAAUACCACCCCAGGAAGACUUCUUCAGUAGUACAAUAAUUUCAAUUUUUCUUCUCCAUCUUAAAGCUAGAAAAUAUUUUACUGAAAAAAGCCAACAGAGUAUGUAUAGAUAUUUUAAAUAUAUUCAUAUAUAGGGUUUGUCUUUUCUCUUUAGUAGCAAUUGUUAUUUAAAUAAUGAUGUUGAAAAAAUAUAUGACAUUGUGCUACCCAACCAAUUAAAUAGAGGACAGGAUACUUCUUUAAGAGACAAUUCUACUUAGCAAAGGAUUAUUGAAUACUUACCAGGUGCCUUAUACUGAAGUAAAUCUUGAAGUAACAGGUCAGUGAAUGCAGCUGAGUCUCAGCUUUGAUAUUUGCUGAAAAUGUGACUUAGAUUAUUUAUUAUAAAAUUCUCUGCUAUUUAAAGGAUAUUAGAAAUACUUGUCUAACAAGCUUCAUGCUAAGAUUAAAUGAAAUAAUACAUACCAAAUGUCAAGUAGUGUAGAGGGCAGAGUGAUCCACAAAUGUUAGUUAUAUUUGGACUCCAGGGACUCAAGGCUCAAGGCACAAGACAUCUUGCAUGGAGAUAAUUUAACAUGUAAUUAAAAUACAGUGGAAUAGGUUUUCUUGUAAGUGAAAAAAAAUGAUGUGUCACAAUACAAAAGAGGCAUCUUGAACAAUAUCCUAAAUAUUUACUUUAGGAUCCAAAGAAAAUAAAAAAAUUAGCAGGGGGCCAAGGGAGGAUAUGGCAUAUUGUAGAAUGAAAGAAGAAGUCAGAAGAAAGAAAGAGAUGCACUUCCAGGAACUAAAAUGAUGUGCAGGUCAGUUGCAAUAUGGGAUAUGACCCCACAUCAACAGAGUUUCACAUGAGGCCACAUCAGGAUUCAUUGGUCCACUUUAUACUUUGAAAGUCACUUUUAUCCAUGUAGGAUUCUGUAUUUGUCAGGCAUUAGUUCACUAUUUUAUCUCAUACUGGUCCCUUUGGAAAAGAAUUUUAACUAUUGGCAGAUAACAAACUCAUUAUGGUUAAGUACUAUUUUCUAAUUUUCAUUUGAAAGCAAGAUAUCUUACUAUUGGUUUAAAAAAUAGUGUUAUUUUUUAAAAACAAAAUAAAACAGACUUUUUUGCUCCAUUUUAUUUGAGAAAAUGUCUAGCCAAUACCCAAUUCUGAAAAAGUAAAAUUUAUUUUUUGGUUAUUCUUUCAAAUAAGAGUGAAAAAUCAAACAAUUGCCAAG